ACAAAGGUGGUGUAUGUUAGGUGUUGUUGAGGCUGGCCGGACUGUUACUACCCUCGUUAGUGUGGCCGGACUGUUACUACCCUUGUUAGUGUAGUGGUUGAAGCACAGCAGACGUUACAACACCGGUAAAAACAUAGAACAGGAAUCUUCAUCAUGUUCAAGAUAAUGCCAGCAGCUCCUGAGACUCGCCGACCAGAGAGAGGAGGGAUCAAGGGCGCCAUCCUCAACGUGUACUACGACCCUUUUAAGUGGUCUUUAAUGAAAAGUGUCCUCUUCUUCAUUGUUGGAGUGAAGACAGCCAGCGAUUUUGUUGGCUUUGAUCCAUUGAGUCCAAGUCCACAGUAGAUAAAAUCUUUCUUGAUGAAUGGAUAUAAUUGUAUGAAGUUGUUGUGUAUAGAAAAUAUGUAUCCCAUUAAUACACAAUAUAAUAAAGUCUGCACAUCUGGAGAGUCUACUGUAACAGAACACCCGAGGGUCAUGUUGAGUUUUAAAUGAGAAUAUUUGUAAACUGUAUAUUGAGAAAUAAAUGGACUGUUAUAUGUUA
Homarus americanus (American lobster) is the source of this 544-nucleotide long non-coding RNA. RefSeq lists it as uncharacterized. The record is from RefSeq and is a predicted model, not a curated record. The transcript is spliced from 3 exons. NCBI's taxonomy places the organism in Eukaryota, Metazoa, Arthropoda, Malacostraca, Decapoda, Nephropidae.